AACCCGGCGAAAGUCGGACUAAUACCGCAUGAAGCAGGGGCCCCGCAUGGGGAUAUUUGCUAAAGAUUCAUCGCUGAUAGAUAGGCAUGCGUUCCAUUAGGCAGUUGGCGGGGUAACGGCCCACCAAACCGACGAUGGAUAGGGGUUCUGAGAGGAAGGUCCCCCACAUUGGUACUGAGACACGGACCAAACUCCUACGGGAGGCAGCAGUGAGGAAUAUUGGUCAAUGGGCGUAAGCCUGAACCAGCCAAGUCGCGUGAGGGAUGAAGGUUCUAUGGAUCGUAAACCUCUUUUAUAAGGGAAUAAAGUUCGGGACGUGUCCCGUUUUGUAUGUACCUUAUGAAUAAGGAUCGGCUAACUCCGUGCCAGCAGCCGCGGUAAUACGGAGGAUCCGAGCGUUAUCCGGAUUUAUUGGGUUUAAAGGGUGCGUAGGCGGCCUUUUAAGUCAGCGGUGAAAGUCUGUGGCUCAACCAUAGAAUUGCCGUUGAAACUGGGGGGCUUGAGUAUGUUUGAGGCAGGCGGAAUGCGUGGUGUAGCGGUGAAAUGCUUAGAUAUCACGCAGAACCCCGAUUGCGAAGGCAGCCUGCCAAGCCAUGACUGACGCUGAUGCACGAAAGCGUGGGG
Molecule: ribosomal RNA, 624 nt
Filed under: uncultured bacterium
Lineage: Bacteria
Description: bacterial SSU rRNA
Rfam family: Bacterial small subunit ribosomal RNA
Source: RNAcentral